RNAcentral lists this ribosomal RNA (253 nucleotides) under uncultured bacterium. RNAcentral describes it as "partial 16S ribosomal RNA". It matches the Rfam family "Bacterial small subunit ribosomal RNA", at positions 524 to 776 of the family's 1533-position model. The record is from RNAcentral.
UACGGGGGGGGUAAGCGUUGUUCGGAAUUACUGAGCGUAAAGGGCGCGUAGGCGGCCAUGCGUGUCUUCCGUGAAAUCCCUCGGCUUAACCGAGGACGUGCGGAAGAAACUGCAAGGCUCGAGUCCGGAAGAGGGGGGCGGAAUUCCCAGUGUAGCGGUGAAAUGCGUAGAUAUUGGGAGGAACACCAGUGGCGAAGGCGGUCCCCUGGGCCGGAACUGACGCUGAGGCGCGAAAGCGUGGGUAGCAAACGGG